Molecule: long non-coding RNA, 679 nt
Organism: Dreissena polymorpha
Lineage: Eukaryota; Metazoa; Mollusca; Bivalvia; Myida; Dreissenidae
Exons: 3
Source: RefSeq, a predicted model, not a curated record
UACUCCUUAAAGACAACAAAAAGGUUGUAUGUAUGCAAGUUAUAAUUGGCAAAGUCGCAUUUAUGACAAUUUGAUUUAAAUAAAUUCCUUAAGUGCGCACCAUUAGUCGUUGCGGAAUAGCGAGUUGUAUAAAACCGUCAGACUUCCGAUGGCUUGAACGCUAUUGUAUAUAGAUAGGCCAUUCAUGAAUGUAGGCAUAUGCAUCUAUCAACAAUCAUAUGCAUGGACGCUCUGACACUAAUAAGUGUAUUGAAAAUACAUAUGCAAUUACGCACGCAAUGAAUGUGUGUGAGUAGCCUACGACUACGCGCGUGUGUGUGUGGAUUUGAAGUUUCGGUUCUACCAUUUGCGUUGUGCACAUGUAAAGUGAACGAUAAGUAUGGGCGAGUCCAUUUCAACAAUAUGGGUUGACGUGAAAGUAGAAAAAUAGUAGGCGAGGAAUCCCAAAUGUUAGACACUACUGUCCUACUUUCUUUCCAGAGCUUUCAUAAAGAAAAAGCCGUGAGGAUAACCCCGACCCCACGACCACUAAGCAGACACCAUCUUCAGAACUCCACCGCGACAUAAGCGAACGCAAAACACAUUAUCGAACUCACAAACAAUAAUUUUUCAAUUAAGUUUUCAUAAAGAAAUGAUAAAAUAUCCUUAGUUCCGUCCACAAUUAAAUUGCUAACCUGUU